Molecule: ribosomal RNA, 460 nt
Filed under: uncultured bacterium
Lineage: Bacteria
Description: partial 16S ribosomal RNA
Rfam family: Bacterial small subunit ribosomal RNA
Source: RNAcentral
CCUACGAGCGGCAGCAGUGAGGAAUAUUGGUCAAUGGGCGUAAGCCUGAACCAGCCAAGUCGCGUGAGGGAUGAAGGUUCUAUGGAUCGUCAACCUCUUUUAUAAGGGAAUAAAGUGUGGGACGUGUCCUAUUUUGUAUGUAACUUAUGAAUAAGGAUCGGCUAACUCCGUGCCAGCAGCCGCGGUAAUACGGAGGAAUCGAGCGUUAUCCGGAUUGAUUGGGUUUAAAGGGUGAAUAGGCGGCCUUUUAAGUCAGCGGUGAAAGUCUGUGGCUCAACCAUAGAAUUGCCGUUGAAACUGGGGGGCUUGAGUAUGUUUGAGGCAGGCGGAAUGCGUGGUGUAGCGGUGAAAUGCUUAGAUAUCACGCAGAACCCCGAUUGCGAAGGCAGCCUGCCAAGCCAUGACUGACGCUGAUGCACGAAAGCGUGGGGAUCAAACAGGAUUAGAUACCCCUGUAGUC